AGCCCAGCACACAAAAUAAGAACUGUUUUCUUUCCACGCAGCUGGUGCACCCUUUCAGCCGGUCCCAGCUGCCGAGAGUCGCGCACCCGGCGGGCCACGCCCCUAAAUGAAUAUUCAUGACUACGCUCAGCGACCCGGAUUUGAAAGCGUUUAAGGGGAUUAGAAAGAAAAAGCGUGGAAGCAACCAAAACAUUAAAGAAAAGUUUUGAAAGUCAAAAAACAAAAGAAAACAAAACCCAACCAACUGACCAACAACAACAACAAAAAGCAGCAGAGACCCAAAAUGGAAACAGGAAUGUUGGCCUCUAGGGAGAAAUGCAGAGCGAGUAUCAAGUGAGUACACUCCAACUAGAAAGGAUGCUAUUUGUCUUUCAAGAUGAGGAGUUGGGAAGAGGGAUACCAUUGGUGAGUUCCCAGGAGUAAAGGUAAAAGCCUCUUUACCUUCUGCCCGAAUCUCCCAGGACCACAGGGGAU
Bubalus bubalis (water buffalo) is the source of this 474-nucleotide long non-coding RNA. RefSeq lists it as uncharacterized. The record is from RefSeq and is a predicted model, not a curated record. Lineage: Eukaryota; Metazoa; Chordata; Mammalia; Artiodactyla; Bovidae. The transcript is spliced from 3 exons.